UCAAGAUUUAAGCCAAAAAUUAGACUAGCUAGAGGAGUAGUGCAUCAGUAAACAUGGAGGGGAAAGAAAUGAUGGUGUAGCAUUAAUGCUAAUAAUUUUAGUAGAGGGAUCCAUGGCUGGAGAUUAUGGGAGCUGCAUUGUUGACUGCAUUAAAGACAAAGCCAUUGAUUGUAUUAUGUAACCUCAGAUAUGUCUCCCUGCUUGUGCUGCAAAAUGUGCCAUUGAACUUCCUCCUCCAUCAACACCAACUCAUGCUGCAAAUUAUGCUUGUAAUAUUGGAUGUGCUUUGAGCCAAUGCAAGAACUUCAUGAUCCUAAAUGAUGGAGAGAAGCUUGGAGUAUGCAUGGCUAGUUGCAGUGACAAGUACUGUGCCACAAAGGCUGCAGCUGCUUCAUGAACUUGGUUUCUUAUAUGUUUCUACUUGUAGUAUCUAGUAAUAAUAUCAAUAAUUUUGGAGGCUAAGAAUAAAUGCUCGCCUCCAUUGUUGCCCUCAUGGAGGAACUAGGCUGAAUACUGUGUGGUGUGAAUGUGAUCUUAUGACAUUCAAAUAUAUGAAAGUUUUACAUUUCAGUUUA
Non-coding RNA from Nicotiana tabacum (common tobacco), 575 nucleotides. Lineage: Eukaryota; Viridiplantae; Streptophyta; Magnoliopsida; Solanales; Solanaceae. The record is from RefSeq and is a predicted model, not a curated record.